UACGGAGGGUGCAAGCGUUAUCCGGAUUCACUGGGUUUAAAGGGUGCGUAGGAGGGCAGGUAAGUCAGUGGUGAAAUCUCCAAGCUUAACUUGGAAACUGCCAUUGAUACUAUCAGUCUUGAAUAUCGUUGAGGCAGGCGGAAUAUAUCAUGUAGCGGUGAAAUGCAUAGAUAUGAUAUAGAACACCAAUUGCGAAGGCAGCUUGCUAAACGAUCAUUGACGCUGAGGCACGAAAGCGUGGGGAUCAAACAGG
RNAcentral lists this ribosomal RNA (253 nucleotides) under uncultured bacterium. RNAcentral describes it as "partial 16S ribosomal RNA". It matches the Rfam family "Bacterial small subunit ribosomal RNA", at positions 524 to 776 of the family's 1533-position model. The record is from RNAcentral.